GAUGAACGCUGGCGGCGUGCCUAAUACAUGCAAGUCGAGCGAACGGACGAGAAGCUUGCUUCUCUGAUGUUAGCGGCGGACGGGUGAGUAACACGUGGAUAACCUACCUAUAAGACUGAGAUAACUUCGGGAAACCGUAGCUAAUACCGGAUAAUAUUUUGAACCGCAUGGUUCAAAAGUGAAAGACGGUCUUGCUGUCACUUAUAGAUGGAUUCGCGCUGCAUUAGCUAGUUGGUAAGGUAACGGCUUACCAAGGCAACGAUGCAUAGCCGACCUGAGAGGGUGAUCGGCCACACUGGAACUGAGACACGGUCCAGACUCCUACGGGAGGCAGCAGUAGGGAAUCUUCCGCAAUGGGCGAAAGCCUGACGGAGCAACGCCGCGUGAGUGAUGAAGGUCUUCGGAUCGUAAAACUCUGUUAUUAGGGAAGAACAUAUGUGUAAGUAACUGUGCACAUCUUGACGGUACCUAAUCAGAAAGCCACGGCUAACUACGUG
This 497-nucleotide ribosomal RNA is filed under the name uncultured bacterium. RNAcentral's name for it is "partial 16S ribosomal RNA". It matches the Rfam family "Bacterial small subunit ribosomal RNA", at positions 28 to 507 of the family's 1533-position model. The record is from RNAcentral.